GAUGAACGCUAGCUACAGGCUUAACACAUGCAAGUCGAGGGGUAGCAGGGUAGCAAUACCGCUGACGACCGGCGCACGGGUGAGUAACACGUAUCCAACCUUCCCAUAACUCAGGGAUAGCCUUUCGAAAGAAAGAUUAAUACCUGAUAGUACUUUUUCAAGGCAUCUUGAGAAAGUUAAAGAUUUAUUGGUUAUGGAUGGGGAUGCGUUCCAUUAGAUAGUUGGUGAGGUAACGGCUCACCAAGUCUUCGAUGGAUAGGGGCUCUGAGAGGAAGGUCCCCCACAUUGGUACUGAGACACGGACCAAACUCCUACGGGAGGCAGCAGUGAGGAAUAUUGGUCAAUGGGCGAGAGCCUGAACCAGCCAAGUAGCGUGAAGGAUGAAGGUCCUAUGGAUUGUAAACUUCUUUUAUAGUAGAAUAAAGUGACCCACGUGUGGGUUUUUGUAUGUAUACUAUGAAUAAGGAUCGGCUAACUCCGUGCCAGCCGCCGCCGUAA
Molecule: ribosomal RNA, 498 nt
Filed under: uncultured bacterium
Lineage: Bacteria
Description: partial 16S ribosomal RNA
Rfam family: Bacterial small subunit ribosomal RNA
Source: RNAcentral